RNAcentral lists this non-coding RNA (28 nucleotides) under Homo sapiens (human). The record is from RNAcentral. Lineage: Eukaryota; Metazoa; Chordata; Mammalia; Primates; Hominidae.
CGGGAUUGCAGACGGUGUCUGGUUCACU